ACUUAAAUUGAAGAGUUUGAUCAUGGCUCAGAUUGAACGCUGGCGGCAGGCCUAACACAUGCAAGUCGAGCGGUAGCACAGAGAGCUUGCUCUCGGGUGACGAGCGGCGGACGGGUGAGUAAUGUCUGGGAAACUGCCUGAUGGAGGGGGAUAACUACUGGAAACGGUAGCUAAUACCGCAUA
RNAcentral lists this ribosomal RNA (183 nucleotides) under Klebsiella pneumoniae. RNAcentral describes it as "partial 16S ribosomal RNA". It matches the Rfam family "Bacterial small subunit ribosomal RNA", at positions 1 to 175 of the family's 1533-position model. Lineage: Bacteria; Pseudomonadati; Pseudomonadota; Gammaproteobacteria; Enterobacterales; Enterobacteriaceae. RNAcentral also lists the same sequence under 2 other names. The record is from RNAcentral.